RNAcentral lists this long non-coding RNA (4257 nucleotides) under Homo sapiens (human). Its description in RNAcentral is "HSALNT0400616". Lineage: Eukaryota; Metazoa; Chordata; Mammalia; Primates; Hominidae. The record is from RNAcentral.
UAUCAUGGGAUAUUGGUUUUUCACUACCUGCCAAUAUGGGCUCCAAAUUGACCUCUCAUAUAUUCUACAAGCAGAGAGUUUCCAACCUGCUGAUGCAAUACAAGGGUUUAACUUUGUAUGAUAAAACUACACAUCACAAAGCAUUUUUACAGAUACCUUGUUUCUAGCUUUUAUCACAAUAUAUUCUGUUUUUCACUACAGGCCUCAAUUUGCUCUGAAAUGUCCUGUCGUAUAUUCUACAAUAAGAAUGUUUCCAACCUGCUGAAUAAAAAGAAAGAUUUAACUCUAUAAGUUGAAAUCACACAUCUCAAAGCAUUUUCAGAGACAGCUUCUUUAUAGUGUUUAUUAGGAUUUUAGGUUUUUCACUACAAGCCUCAAUCAAUGGGCUUUGAAAUAUCUCCUCAUCAAUUGUACAAAAAGAGAGUUUCCAACCUACUAAAUCAAAACAAAGGUUUAACAUUGUGAGACAAAUCCACAAAUUGCAAAGCAUUUUUACAGAUAACUUGUUUCUAGUUUUUAUCACGGGAUAUUUGAUUUUUCACUAUAGGCCUCAGGGGGCUAAGAAAAGUCCCCUCUUUGAUUCUACAAAAUGAAUGUUUCCAAACUGCUAAGUUUCCAACCUGCUGAAUCAAAACUAACAUUCAACUCCAUUAGAUGAAUCCACACAUCUCAAAGCAUUUUCACAGAUAGCUAGUUUCUAGUUUUCAUCGUGGGAUAUUCAGUUUUUUACUACAGGCCUCAUUGGGUUUGAAAUGUACCCUUGCAGAUUCUAGAAAAAUAGUGUUUCCAAAGCGCUAAGUCAAAAUAAAGGUUAAACUCUGUGAGAUGAAACCACACAUUGCAAAAGAUUUUUACAGAUAGCUUGUUCUAGUUUUUAUCAUGGCAUAUGUGGUUUUUCACUAUAGGCCUCAAUGAGCUCCAAAAUGUCCCUUCUUUUAUUCUACAAAAAGAAUGUUUCCAACCUGCCCAAUCAAAACAAGGUUUAACUCUGUGAGAUGAUUCUACACAUUGCAAAACAUUUUCUCACAUACCUUGUUUCUAGUUUUUAUCCUGGGAUAUUUGGUUUUUAGUAUAGGCCUCUAUGGGCUCCAAAAUAUCCCUUCAUAGAUAUUACAAAAAGAGUAUUUUCAACCUUCUGAACCAAAACAAGGGUUUAACUUUGCGAGAUGAAUCCACAUAUCUCAAAGCAUUUUCACAGAUAAUUUGUUGUCAGUUUUUAUCAGGGAUAUUCAUUUCUUUAUAAUAGGCCUCAAGGACUCAGAAAUUUCUUAUUUUAAAUUCUACUAAAAGAGUGUUUCCAACCUGCUGUAUAUAAACAUAGGUAUAACUCUAUGAGAUAAAUCCACACAUCACAAACAUUUUCACAGAUAGCUUGUUUCUAGCUUUUAUCACAAGAUAUUCAGUUUUCACUAUAGGCCUCUGUGGGCUCUGAAAUGUUCCUUUGUAGAUUCCACAAAAAAGUGUUUGAAACCUGCAGAAUAAAAACAAAAGUCUAACUCUGUGAGAUGAAUCCACACAUCACAGAGCAUUUUCACUAAUAAUUUCUUGCUAGUUUCUAUGGUGGGAUAUUUAGUUUCUCAAUAUACUCAUCCAUGGGCUUCAAAAUAUCCCUUCAUUGAUUCUUAAAAAAGAGUGUUUCCAAACUGCUAAGUCAAAACAAAUGUUUAACUCUGAGGGAUAACCCACGCAUCACAAAGCAUUUUCACAGAUAGUCACUGGAACGCUGGCCUUUCUGGAAAAGCCACCUUUUUGGUACCCCUCCCCUCAUGGCCGUGGCAGUGGCACAGUGCUGUAUCCUGCCUGGGCUUUGGCCUCUGCUUUGUCCUGCCUCUUGCUCUGUCUCCCCUGUUUCUGAGGGGCCUAGAUGCCUCUCGCUCUCGCUGAAUGUCUUCAACAAUGAUCACAACCCAGUCCGUCAGGUAGACACUUACUGGAGAUCCCUGUCGUGAUCGUUUAUCUCUUUCAACCUGUUUCUGCUUGAUGGGGCAGGAUAGACGACCCUGGAGCUCUUGGCUUCCAUACUUCUCUCAGACAGGGAAGCUUCCUUCCUCUCCGUGUUUCACCUCAUGGGUGGGUGGAUUGCCUGGAAUGAGCGCUAGUCGACCGUGACAGACCUUGUCUUCUAGGACAGGUGGUGUCGCAUUUCCUCUGCACUUCAUGUCUCAUUCGUGAGAGACAUCCUCUCCUCUGCUCCUGGGUGGACUGAGUCUCUGGAUCUUUUGACCAUAACGAAUGUCGGGGAAAGGAACCAAAGGGACUGGGCUGGGGCUGGGGCUGGGUCUGCGGCUGGUUGCAGGGGAGGUUGGGUCAGGGCUACCUGGGCCAUGGAGGGUUGGGGGUGGGGUGAAUUUUGCCAAAACCUCUUUAAUCCUCUGGCAGGCAUUUCAAAAUGUGGCUUGGACUAAGGCACAGGCACCCUCCUCGUUCCCAGGUGUUCUUUGAUUUUCCUUGGCAUUGAUGGAAAGGUCACUCAUUCCCCCCUUCGACCGGGCACAUUCCUGGACACCAUUGUUGGUUUCGCCAUCACAAUGUAUGCCUCCGGUGACACACAUUCACACCAUCUGCUGUGGGAUACACCAGUGCCACGCGUGGUCACAUGGUCUCCAUCUCGGAUUCACCCCUGAUCCUCUUUCUACCAGUCCCAUAAAGCGCGGUCGGCUUUCCGGAGCCCCAGGGCUUUUAGAAGCGGGGCAGGCCACUGCUCUUUCAAAGGAGGAAGGAAGCAGAGGGCUGAUGGAUCAGUGAAAGUGCAGCUGACACUAGGCCUUGAGACUUAUGGGAUUAUUCUGUGCUGCAGCGAGGCCCUACGGCCUCACCAGAUGUAGUGAGCCCAUCCUAUCUCAUUCAGCAGGCCAAAAUGGAUCUGAAGGGGAGUCCUGAGAACACAGCAAGCCUCCUGAAGCUCCCGCUCCAUCGGUGGAAGUCGGCUCAAGGAGGUCCUGAGGACAGGACUCCUGGGGCUUUUGCCCUGGGACAAUAUACCCGGGGCCCCUCUCCCACGCUGCCUCAAAUUGGACCCCGGAUGCAGCCGACUCCGCGGCUGCAGCAGGAGCCUCGCUGCCACCCCGCAGCGCUGCCAUUAUUUAAAGGGGACGCAGCCUGACUGCCAGGAGCGGAGCGCGAGUCCGCCCAGCCAAUGCUCCUGGGCGAGGCGCGAGUGGCUUUUCCCAUCACAGUGGUUCCACGGUUGUCUUAGAAACCAGUCCCCGAGGCUUAGAAAAGCAGGAGCCCUCCGCGGCAGUCCAUGGGUGUCAGGGUUCUGAGGCUCCGGCCUGACCUCUCCACGGGGUCGACGGGAACGUCUCCAGAUGCCAGGAGUCGCAAAGCGCCAAACAGGAUGAGGAAACCCCAGGCGGAGUCCGGGAAAAGCAGCACAGCAUCCCAGCCUCAGGCCUGCCCGGACCGUGUUGGUUGGGUUGACUCUCCCCAAAAGUCGUGCCGCCAUCCGUGAUCUCUAAGACAGGUCGGCCUGCGUGCCCCUGGGCUGCUCUCUCAUCCGAGGGUCGUUCUCGUCGAGAGUAGAAUCCCGCAGUCUCAGGGGUUACCUGGGGGAUCAAGAUGAACCCACUGCAGACGAGGACAAGAGCCCCAACAGGAGCUCUUUGUCCCACAGGAGAGCAGCGGACCCACGUCAGAGAAGAUGCUUGUGUCUUUUCAUGGCUCUUCUCUGAGAAAUGAAGCCACACCACGAUACAGUCAGCAAGAGGAAGCCAGGAAUGAGAGAUGGCAACAAUCCCUGUCCCUGGAACGCUGGCCUCCCUGCACAAGCCACCCUUUAGGAACCCCACCCCUUAUGCCUGUGACGGUGGCAAGGUGCUGUAUCCUGCCUGGGCUCCGGCCUCUGCUCUGUCCUCCCUCUUGCUCUGCCUCCCCUGUUUCUCAGGGGCCUGGAUGCCUCUCGCUCUGGCCAAAUGCCUUCAACAAAGAUGACUUCCCACUCCGUCAGGGAGACACUUCCUGGAGACCCGUGUCGUGAUUGUUUCUCUUUCAAAAAGUAUUUCCGCUUGAUUGGGUAGGUCUAAUGACCCGGGAGCUCUUGGCUUCCAUAGGUGUCUCAGGCAGGGAAGCUUCCUUCUUCUCCACAUUUCCCCUCAUGGGUGGGUGGAUUGCCUAGAAUGAGCUCUAGGCGACCGUGACUGGCCUUGUCUUCCACGACAGGUGGUGUCGCAUUUCCUCUGCACUUCCUGUCUCAUUCUUGAGGGACAUCCUCUCCUCUGCUCCUGGGUGGACUGACUCCCUUGAUCUUCUGGCCAAAAC